RNAcentral lists this ribosomal RNA (697 nucleotides) under Acinetobacter sp. UAPS0158. RNAcentral's name for it is "bacterial SSU rRNA". It matches the Rfam family "Bacterial small subunit ribosomal RNA", at positions 57 to 747 of the family's 1533-position model. Lineage: Bacteria; Pseudomonadati; Pseudomonadota; Gammaproteobacteria; Moraxellales; Moraxellaceae. The record is from RNAcentral.
GCAAGUCGAGCGGNAGAGAGGUAGCUUGCUACCGAUCUUAGCGGCGGACGGGUGAGUAAUGCUUAGGAAUCUGCCUAUUAGUGGGGGACAACAUUUCGAAAGGAAUGCUAAUACCGCAUACGUCCUACGGGAGAAAGCAGGGGAUCUUCGGACCUUGCGCUAAUAGAUGAGCCUAAGUCGGAUUAGCUAGUUGGUGGGGUAAAGGCCUACCAAGGCGACGAUCUGUAGCGGGUCUGAGAGGAUGAUCCGCCACACUGGGACUGAGACACGGCCCAGACUCCUACGGGAGGCAGCAGUGGGGAAUAUUGGACAAUGGGCGCAAGCCUGAUCCAGCCAUGCCGCGUGUGUGAAGAAGGCCUUAUGGUUGUAAAGCACUUUAAGCGAGGAGGAGGCUACUUUAGUUAAUACCUAGAGAUAGUGGACGUUACUCGCAGAAUAAGCACCGGCUAACUCUGUGCCAGCAGCCGCGGUAAUACAGAGGGUGCAAGCGUUAAUCGGAUUUACUGGGCGUAAAGCGCGCGUAGGCGGCUAAUUAAGUCAAAUGUGAAAUCCCCGAGCUUAACUUGGGAAUUGCAUUCGAUACUGGUUAGCUAGAGUGUGGGAGAGGAUGGUAGAAUUCCAGGUGUAGCGGUGAAAUGCGUAGAGAUCUGGAGGAAUACCGAUGGCGAAGGCAGCCAUCUGGCCUAACACUNACGCU